AGCUCCUGGAGCACCACACGUGCCCUGCUUUUUGGGGAGCAUUUGGCAGCACCCCUCUUCAUCAGUCCCUGCGGUGCUAUCCCAAACCCGCUGGGACUGAAGAAUUCUAUCCUUCCACAGAAACCACACACACCAUCUGAAGCCUAAGGAGUGUCCUCAGCUUCCCCAGCACUCUGCAGGAGUGCAUUUCCAGCUCGUGCAUUCUGGAGAGGCCAAGCCAGCUGCCACAAAGUGUGUUACAAAGACAUGCAAGGACAAGAGCAGCAACAAGGAGCCAUCAUAAAAUUAUCUCACAGAGCUGCUCUUCAGUCAUGGUUGUGGUAAUGAACCAAGUAUUUAAGAAAAGGUUUGGUCCAGAGAGCUGAAAGGACCAGGAGCAGAGCAUAUGUGAUCACCAGCAGGAGCAAGUGUGCCACCAGCACAGUGAUGUGUGGGAGCUGUGGGACCCGGCCUUGGCCUGAGAGCAGCAAAGCACAGCUCAGCACAGGCAGAAGGAGCUCCACUGACAAAGCGCUAAUCAAACAGAGGGACUGGUGUGAGGAAUGCAGCAUGAGCAGAGAGGUGGAGAAGUAUGGAGCAAAAUGCAGGCAGAAGAGUUUCCAGGCCAGCAUUGCUGGCUGAGAAAGAUGAGGUCCCACAGUGUCACUCCUGUGAGCCUCUUCCUGGCAAGCUGGGUGAGAGAAGGAAAGACACAAAAGCUCCAGAGAGAGGAUGAAGGAGAUGCAGGUUGACACAAAGCCCUGGGAGAGGAGGAAUGCCCUGGGGGGUU
This is a long non-coding RNA of Passer domesticus (house sparrow), 769 nucleotides long. RefSeq lists it as uncharacterized. The transcript is spliced from 4 exons. Lineage: Eukaryota; Metazoa; Chordata; Aves; Passeriformes; Passeridae. The record is from RefSeq and is a predicted model, not a curated record.